GACAGUGACCAUGUCUGUCUGUGUUCACCAGUGCCCAGCACAGUGCCUGGUAUAAAACAGCUCUCUGGGAAAGCAUCUCUCAGCAUCUCUACUCACUCCCUCCCCAAGCUCCAGCCCCCUCCCCAGAAACAGUGUGGGUUCUGCUGGACAAGUGACCCAGAAGACAUCCCUUCAGACUCAUGAAGAGCAGGGGACUGAGAGCCAGAGGCCCACGUCCUCGGCUGCCUGCCUCACCCUGUGGCCCCGGUCACACAGCUCAUCAGCAGUGAAGCCAAGAUCCUAGCCCAGGUCUGUCAGCCUCCAGUGGGCUCUCCCUGCUGCCAGAAAGUCCUCCUCGUGGAGAAGCAGGUCUGGGGUUGGGGUUUUCAGUCAGAGCUCAUCAGGAUCCCCAGAGGCAAAUCGAUUGUCAUCUGCCCUCCUCCUCCUCACCCAUCUGCCAGGCAAGUCGCAGGUGAGCCCCCUGCCACGGCCCCUGCCCCAGCCCCAGGUGCUAGCUCAGCUUUGACUGGCUCCCUGCCUCUCCCUGGUGCCCCCAAGGUGGCUCUGAGGUCACCCCACACCCCAAUGCCUUCCAUUCUGCGCUUCCAGAUCUCAGGAUGCAUAGGAAAAAGGAGGCAGAGAGAGGAGGUCACGUGAAGGUUGGAAGCUGGGGCUCUGGUUUUGGGCAAAAGAUUGGGGGCCUGCUUAUCUCCUUUGAUUCAAAUGAACCCUUUCCCUAACUCCCACCCCUCACCCCAGAGACAGCCAGAGCUUUGCUUAGUUAAUGAAAUACAAAAGAAGGAGUCAGGGGGUGGGAGCGGCUGGAGAACACUGGAAAGCAAGGGAGAGAG
Molecule: long non-coding RNA, 830 nt
Organism: Physeter macrocephalus (sperm whale)
Lineage: Eukaryota; Metazoa; Chordata; Mammalia; Artiodactyla; Physeteridae
Exons: 3
Source: RefSeq, a predicted model, not a curated record